RNAcentral lists this ribosomal RNA (516 nucleotides) under Salpa thompsoni. RNAcentral's name for it is "SSU rRNA". It matches the Rfam family "Eukaryotic small subunit ribosomal RNA", at positions 600 to 1119 of the family's 1831-position model. Lineage: Eukaryota; Metazoa; Chordata; Thaliacea; Salpida; Salpidae. The record is from RNAcentral.
UAUAUUUAAGUUGUUGCGGUUGAAAAGCUCGUAGUUGGAUUUUGGGACGGCGCGUCUGGUCGGCCGCAAGGCUUGUACUGCACGCGCUGUCCUCACAUGACCGGUGCCUCUAAGGUGCUCUUAACUGAGUGCUUUUGUGGUCCGGGAAGUUUACCUUGAAAAAAUUAGAGUGUUCAAAGCAGGCUUAAAGCUUGAAUAAUGUUGCAUGGAAUAAUGGAAUAGGACCUCGGUUCUAUUUUGUUGGUUUUCGGAGCGCGAGGUAAUGAUUAAGAGGAACGGACGGGGGCAUCCGUACUGUGCCGUUAGAGGUGAAAUUCUUGGAUCGGCGCAAGACGAACAACUGCGAAAGCAUUUGCCAAGAAUGUUUUCUUUAAUCAAGAGCGAAAGUCAGAGGUUCGAAGACGAUCAGAUACCGUCCUAGUUCUGACCUUAAACGAUGCCGACUAGCGAUCGGGCAGCGUCGAUAUAAGACCUGCCCGGCAGCUUCCGGGAAACCAAAGUCUUUGGGUUCCGGGG